This 799-nucleotide ribosomal RNA is filed under the name uncultured Achromobacter sp. Its description in RNAcentral is "bacterial SSU rRNA". It matches the Rfam family "Bacterial small subunit ribosomal RNA", at positions 67 to 859 of the family's 1533-position model. The record is from RNAcentral. Lineage: Bacteria; Pseudomonadati; Pseudomonadota; Betaproteobacteria; Burkholderiales; Alcaligenaceae.
CGGCAGCACGGACUUCAGUCUGGUGGCGAGUGGCGAACGGGUGAGUAAUGUAUCGGAACGUGCCCAGUAGCGGGGGAUAACUACGCGAAAGCGUAGCUAAUACCGCAUACGCCCUACGGGGGAAAGCAGGGGAUCGCAAGACCUUGCACUAUUGGAGCGGCCGAUAUCGGAUUAGCUAGUUGGUGGGGUAACGGCUCACCAAGGCGACGAUCCGUAGCUGGUUUGAGAGGACGACCAGCCACACUGGGACUGAGACACGGCCCAGACUCCUACGGGAGGCAGCAGUGGGGAAUUUUGGACAAUGGGGGAAACCCUGAUCCAGCCAUCCCGCGUGUGCGAUGAAGGCCUUCGGGUUGUAAAGCACUUUUGGCAGGAAAGAAACGUCGCGGGUUAAUACCCCGCGAAACUGACGGUACCUGCAGAAUAAGCACCGGCUAACUACGUGCCAGCAGCCGCGGUAAUACGUAGGGUGCAAGCGUUAAUCGGAAUUACUGGGCGUAAAGCGUGCGCAGGCGGUUCGGAAAGAAAGAUGUGAAAUCCCAGAGCUUAACUUUGGAACUGCAUUUUUAACUACCGGGCUAGAGUGUGUCAGAGGGAGGUGGAAUUCCGCGUGUAGCAGUGAAAUGCGUAGAUAUGCGGAGGAACACCGAUGGCGAAGGCAGCCUCCUGGGAUAACACUGAUCGUCUCAUGCACGAAAGCGUGGGGAGCAAAUCAGGAUUAGAUACCCUGGUAGUCCACGCCCUAAACGAUGUCAACUAGCUGUUGGGGCCUUCGGGCCUUGGUAGCGCAGCUAACGCG